CAGUGUUACAGCUUUUUAAGAAUUUGUCCAGCAGACUUUCUUGUUUUUACUGGAAGCCUCCCU
This is a non-coding RNA of Chlorocebus sabaeus (green monkey), 63 nucleotides long. It matches the Rfam family "U7 small nuclear RNA". Rfam says of the family: Animal histone pre-mRNAs are spliced by a different mechanism than nuclear pre-mRNAs and self-splicing introns. This processing involves the U7 snRNP, which contains only one RNA species: U7. Lineage: Eukaryota; Metazoa; Chordata; Mammalia; Primates; Cercopithecidae. The record is from Rfam.